Molecule: ribosomal RNA, 253 nt
Filed under: uncultured Oscillospira sp.
Lineage: Bacteria; Bacillati; Bacillota; Clostridia; Eubacteriales; Oscillospiraceae
Description: partial 16S ribosomal RNA
Rfam family: Bacterial small subunit ribosomal RNA
Source: RNAcentral
UACGGGGGAUGCAAGCGUUAUCCGGAUUUACUGGGUGUAAAGGGCGUGCAGCCGGAGAGACAAGUCAGAUGUGAAAUCCACAGGCUCAACCUGUGAACUGCAUUUGAAACUGUUUCCCUUGAGUAUCGGAGAGGUCAUCGGAAUUCCUAGUGUAGCGGUGAAAUGCGUAGAUAUUAGGAAGAACACCAGUGGCGAAGGCGGAUGACUGGACGGUAACUGACGCUGAGGCUCGAAAGCGUGGGGAGCAAACAGG